This 467-nucleotide ribosomal RNA is filed under the name uncultured bacterium. RNAcentral describes it as "bacterial SSU rRNA". It matches the Rfam family "Bacterial small subunit ribosomal RNA", at positions 337 to 796 of the family's 1533-position model. The record is from RNAcentral.
UCCUACGGGGGGCAGCAGUGGGGAAUUUUGGACAAUGGGCGCAAGCCUGAUCCAGCAAUGCCGCGUGCAGGAUGAAGGCCUUCGGGUUGUAAACUGCUUUUGUACGGAACGAAACGGUUCGCUUUAAUACAGUGGGCUAAUGACGGUACCGUAAGAAUAAGCACCGGCUAACUACGUGCCAGCAGCCGCGGUAAUACGUAGGGUGCGAGCGUUAAUCGGAAUUACUGGGCGUAAAGCGUGCGCAGGCGGUUUUGUAAGACAGAUGUGAAAUCCCCGGGCUCAACCUGGGACCUGCAUUUGUGACUGCAAGGCUAGAGUACGGUAGAGGGGGAUGGAAUUCCGCGUGUAGCAGUGAAAUGCGUAGAUAUGCGGAGGAACACCGAUGGCGAAGGCAAUCCCCUGGACCUGUACUGACGCUCAUGCACGAAAGCGUGGGGAGCAAACAGGAUUAGAUACCCCGGUAGUCC